GGGGAUGUGACUUAGCGGUAGAGUGCUCACCUCGCAUGUGUGAGACCCUGGGUUCAAUCCUCAGCACCA
Molecule: transfer RNA, 69 nt
Filed under: Ictidomys tridecemlineatus (thirteen-lined ground squirrel)
Lineage: Eukaryota; Metazoa; Chordata; Mammalia; Rodentia; Sciuridae
Description: Spermophilus tridecemlineatus (thirteen-lined ground squirrel) tRNA
Rfam family: tRNA
About the family: Transfer RNA (tRNA) molecules are approximately 80 nucleotides in length. Their secondary structure includes four short double-helical elements and three loops (D, anti-codon, and T loops).
Source: Rfam by way of RNAcentral